UUUCGUACUAACUACAAACAUUGUUUUUUAAGUCCAUAACACAUACAAACAUAACCGAGCUAAAAAAUAAGACCUUAGGCAAUGGAUGUCUUGGCUCCUUACACGAUGAAGAACGUUGCAUAAUGCGAUAAGCGGCUGGAGUAGCUAACAUUGCGACAAGUUCGAUCUUUGAAUGCACAUUGCGCAAUAUGCAUCCUUGGGUGUAUAUGCAUGUAUGAAGUAGUAACCUUUCAUAUUCUAAUUCGCUUUCCAUCAAAGCGCGAAAAAUUAUAAUUACGAAAUGGGUUCUUCGACAUACAGGA
RNAcentral lists this ribosomal RNA (302 nucleotides) under Simplicimonas sp. IdnR4. Its description in RNAcentral is "5.8S ribosomal RNA". The stretch from base 71 to 228 matches the Rfam family "5.8S ribosomal RNA". From Rfam's summary of the family: 5.8S ribosomal RNA (5.8S rRNA) is a component of the large subunit of the eukaryotic ribosome. It is transcribed by RNA polymerase I as part of the 45S precursor that also contains 18S and 28S rRNA. Functionally, it is thought that 5.8S rRNA may be involved in ribosome translocation. Lineage: Eukaryota; Parabasalia; Tritrichomonadida; Simplicimonadidae. The record is from RNAcentral.